Molecule: ribosomal RNA, 986 nt
Filed under: Linnemannia hyalina
Lineage: Eukaryota; Fungi; Mortierellomycota; Mortierellomycetes; Mortierellales; Mortierellaceae
Description: eukaryotic LSU rRNA
Rfam family: Eukaryotic large subunit ribosomal RNA
Source: RNAcentral
AGUGAAGCGGGAUGAGCUCAAAUUUAAAAUCUGGCUGGUUUACUAGUCCGAAUUGUAGUUUAUAGAAGCGUUUUCGGUGGCAGCCUGGGUAUAAAUCCUUUGGAAUAGGGUAUCAUAGAGGGUGAGAAUCCCGUCUUUGACUCAGUGCAUGCUACUAUGUGAUACGUUUUCAAAGAGUCGAGUUGUUUGGGAAUGCAGCUCAAAAUGGGUGGUAAAUUUCAUCUAAAGCUAAAUAUUGGCGAGAGACCGAUAGCGAACAAGUACCGUGAGGGAAAGAUGAAAAGAACUUUGAAAAGAGAGUUAAACAGUGCGUGAAAUUGUUGAAAGGGAAACGCUUGACACCAGUCAUGCGAGUGGAAAAUCAGUCUUUUGCAAUGGGGAGUUGUGGGCGUUCAGACCGCAAGGCUGGCGUUUGUUUCAUCUUUGUUGUAAGUGAUGCACUUUUUCAUUUGCAGGUCAACAUCAGUUUGCUUUGCUGGACAAAACCCCAAGGGAAGGUGGCAGCUUAGGCUGUGUUAUAGCCCUGGGGCGAUACAGUGGAGUGGACUGAGGUUUUCGCAGUGUGUGCUCUCUGGGCAAGGCUGACUGGGUGCUAUGGGAUCGUUCGGUGUACAAUGCAUGCAUUUUGCGCCGUGUCUUUUUCAUACUCGCUCAACUCGGCUCUUCCACACUUAGGAUGUUGACUUAAUGGUUUUAAUCGACCCGUCUUGAAACACGGACCAAGGAGUCUAACAUAUAUGCAAGUGUUUGGGUGGCAAACCCAUGCGCGUAAUGAAAGUGAACGUAGGUGCCAUCCGCAAGGUGCAGCAUCGACCGAUCUUGAUAUUUUUGGAUAGAUUUGAGUAAGAGCAUAUAUGCUGGGACCCGAAAGAUGGUGAACUAUGCCUGAAUAGGGUGAAGCCAGAGGAAACUCUGGUGGAGGCUCGUAGCGAUUCUGACGUGCAAAUCGAUCGUCAAAUUUGGGUAUAGGGGCGAAAGACUAAUCG